UCUCAGAGGCGUCGGCCCCUUGCCCUAUCCGUCUUCCCUGGGUCUCCUGGGGGAUUGGGCCAGCCGGGAGUCCCGGAGCUGGGCAAGUGUCCAGCCCCGGAGCCCGCCCACUGUCACGGAGCGGACUCCCGUCCAAUCAGACCCGGGUGAUGCCACUCCGGAGAUGAGAGUGGCAGGAAAUCAAGGUCAAGGCCCUGGUCACAAUGGGGCCAUUGUCGUUCUCCAGUCAGUUGACUUUCAAGCAGCCGUUCCCCAUCCACCCUUCACUCUUUCUCCCACCCCCACCCCCCGCCCCCUGUCAGGAAGUCACCCAAACCUAUUGCCUCCGUAUUAGACUCUGCCUGAAGGAAGCCGCUUUCUGGAUCCUACCCCAGACGCUGGAGGCUGGGCUGCUGCGGCAUCGUCUAUUAGGUCCACCAGGUGGCGACAGAGCACCACAUUUCUGAGUGCAGGGAGGGAGGCCCGGGGCUGGCGGCUCAAUCACUGAUCAGGGCGUGGGGGAACCCUGCCCUUCCUGUUUUAUCCAAGAGAAACAAAAAACCAAGUCAGAUUAUACUUUCCCUCACCCUUUACUCUGAGGUCACAGGAAUCUGGAAUCUUAGGGACUCUUCCCUUAGCAAACGGCAAAAUGGCCGUGGGUUGCAGCCCUAUUUUUUUUCCUUGAAUGGGGGUGGAAAACCAAGGGGAAACCUAUUUACUCCGGAAGUCACAGCAAGUGGAACCCUGACUGCCUCUCUAGCCUGCAUUAAUCAAUUGGCUGAUUGAUGGGUUGUGUUAGUGUAUAAACGUCACGUCUGAAAGGACUUCCCUGGUCCCCCAGUCUAAAUUAUGCCUUCCCUGUUCUCCCUCAGAGCCAGCUUUAGUUUUCCUUCUUUGCAUGUAUCCGUUUGUAACUGGACACAUUUGUUUGAUUAUUUUCCACUAGAAUAUACUCUGCGAGAGCAGGGACUGGGUCUAGUUUUGUUGCAUUAAUUUGUCCACUAAGGACAAUACAGUAGAGUAUCUGGCACAUAGUAGGUAUUCAGUAAUACCUAAUACUGAUAAUAUUAUAAACAUAAUAAAUGAAGGAGUGCCCAAUUGAGCAAUGCGGGUGGAGGUGGGCUUCUGGUCCCUGAGAAUUCAGCAUGUGUGAAUUCAGGUAGGCCCACUUAGCAGGCUGCACCUGGCCCAAACUAUCACAUUAGAGAGGCAGGCCCCAGAGGCAGAAAAGCUUUGAGGUUAAGACAUCUGGUCUGGGCUCUAGCCACCUGGCUUCACGAUCUCAUUGUCCCCUCAUGUGGUGGGCGACUUUGCACGCAUCAACCUUUCCGAGCUUGUCUCCUCAUUUGCAAAAUGGGGACAAACAUGGCAUUUAUCUUCUAAGGCCACUGUGAGGGUUCUGAGAGAGAAUUCAUGGAAGAUGCUUAGCCCAGGGCUGGGGACCCAGUAAGCACUCCGGGAAUAUUCGUCAUUACUAUUAUUACUAUUAUUGCUGCUGCUGUUGCUGCUACUACUACUACUGCUGCUGCUGCUGCUGUUGGAGAAAGAACCUUCACUGAGGCUGUAUAGCCCAAGUGCUCCAGGCAGGUACCAGCUGAGGUGAGGGGUCUGGGGCUGAGAGGAUAUUCCAUUGGUACCUGCCCCUUGGCAGUUCUCUGGGUUUGAUUUCUCUUAUCAACUGGUCCAGGAAGCUGAGGCUGGUAGGGCCUGUUCCUCUCUCCUGGUGGCAGAGGUCAGAUCUGUCUCUGCUGCAAUCGCUGCUGGGGGGACAUCCUCUUAGCCUUCCUGGGACACUGUGGGCCCAGGCAAGCCCAUUAGUUAAUUCCUUUGUUUAACAGGCAUGGUGCUUUACCAGGUCCUGGGGAUGGUGGUGAAUAGAGUCAUCUUCUCCCUGUUCACAAGAAGCACAUGGGGUUGGAGCACAGGGGGAGAUGUUAAUCAAAGCAAAAUGGGGGAAAAGGGCAUUUUUUUUUAACUGUGAUAGGGGACAGGGCCUGGUCUACGACAUUCCCUGAGGAAGUGACUUCUGGACUGGGAGCUGAAGGAGGAGGAAGAGGAGCUAUCCAAGAAAAUCCCUCCCUUAAAGCAACCAGCCCUGGGGAAUGCUGUGAUGACCCAACCGGUCCUCAGGCUCUUCCUGGCCCAGUCAAAUGGUCAGAUGGGAGAAGAUUAAAAACCAACACACCCUAAGUACACAGGCUCCUCCUGGGGUCUACUGCCCCCACUAGCGUUACCUGGACACAUAUACACACAAUGUCAAGUCGCAGCCCCUAACCCUGGCCCCAGCCCUGGGGGAAGAGGAAAAGUCUUAGGGAGGUGGCCAGGAGAAGUUGCCAUGGGUUCAAAAAGGCCUGGGAUGAAGGGAUCCUGGGAUGACUCCCUGGGGUCAGCAUUCUGGGUGGGAUAGGGUGCAAACCCGUGGUUCCAGGCAACCAGACGCACCAGCCACCAGCACGUCAGGGGAGCUGAGAGCAUAAGCUAUGUUAUCUGGGUCCUGGGCACGUAUCGCAGCUCUAAGGCUUGGCAGCUUUGGCAAAUUUCUUCACCUAAGCCUCAGUUUGCUUGCCUAUAAAAUGGGAGCAAUAAUAAUAACACCAACCUCAUCGAGUGUUUUGGGGGACUUAGUGAGAUAAUACACGAAACGUCCUGGCACAUAAUGGGCACUUGACAAACAUUAGUGUUAUUAUGUAUUCUUUCUUUUUUUGAGACAAAGUUUUGCUCUUGUUGCCCAGGCUGAAGUGCAGUGGUGCAAUCUCGGCUCACCGCAACCACCGCCUCCUGGGUUCAAGCAAUUCUCCUGCCUCAGCCUCUCGAGUAGCUGGGAUUACAGGCAUGUGCCACCACGCCCAGCUAAUUACAGGCAUGUGCCACCACGCCCAGCUAAUUUUGUAUUUUUAGUACAGACGGGGUUUCUCCACGUUGGUCAGGCUGGUCUCGAACUCCCAACCUCAGGUUAUCCACCCGCCUCAGCCUCCCAAACUGCUGGGAUUACAGGCGGGAGCUACCGUGCCCGGACUAUAUAUUCUUUUAUAUAGGCCUUUAUCUUUUAUAGCUCCUUUGUCACAGGAUUCUGCCAGUUUGGAGAUAAGGAACCUGAGACCCAGAGAGGUGAACUAACUUGCUUAGGGUCCCACAGUUAAAAAGCAGAGGAGUCGGGAUUUGAAGCCAAGUUUCUUUGACUGCAAAGCCUGUGCUCCUAGGAGGUGAGGGAGGGAAGAGAUCAGUGGCUGCCUGGGAAGAAGCUGGGCUCCUGUUCAGUCAUAUUUUCAUGGAUUCAACAGAUGGGUGUAAAUCUUUCUGGGGCUGAGGGUGGAGUACACAUCCUCUUUUUCUAAAUGUGGGAGUCAGGCAGGGCUCCCGCUGGUCCCAGUUGCCCCAGCCAUGAUGGAGGCAGAGCAAGCAGGAGUGGGGAGGAAGAGAAAGCCACUCGGGGCAGGGAGUAACUGAGUCCCAGGGGCUUGGAGUUGGGCUGAGGCCACUAACGGAGCCCUGGCAAGUCUUUCUUGCCAGCCUGAGCCACAAAUCUCUGCUCACUCUCACCCCUAGGAGUUUGUGGCGCCCCCUCCCUUUCCCACCUCAGCCUGGGACCCCUCCUUUCUCUCCUCCUCCCUCCUGAAUGCAGUAAUCCCAGCUAACAAAAGCGACCAUGGCUACUCUGACGUGUGGGACGACGAUGCUAGCCAGGCCGUGCCAGACCCCUCCAGGGAGCCUUGCUGACCCCUCCACGACUCAAGCUGCAUUGGCUGCCCCUCCGCUGCACUCUCCAAGUUCCCUGUGCUCCUGGAUCUGGCACGCAUUAUGCUGUCUCCAGAGUACUUGUGUUGCAAAGUGUCUGUCCCCUCUCAUCACUUCAGCUGCCUAUGGAUAGGGAUGGUGUCAUCUCUGAGCCUUGAUUCAUAAGACCUGCAUGGGGCAGAUGCUCACAUUGAAUGGACCAAUGAGUGGUGGUUACACUGUUUACCUGCGGGUGGAGUGGGGAGACUUCCUGUUAGCAAGUGCUUUUCCCACACUUGAGACUGCCUCUCUCCUCUCUAAGUCCUGGAUUUUAGGCCUCCUUCCCCUUCUACCCAAGCUCACCCCCCCUUGUCAUAACCUGAUGAGGGCUGAGGGAGGUGGUACAGGAGAUGAGUUAAGUGUGGGGCCACUUGCCAGCUAAGAACCCUUGACCCAAGUUUCCUUUUCUGGAAAACAGACAAUAACAGCACCUUCUUAGAGUGGCUAUAAGGACAUAACAAGCCCCUUCCCUCCCCCUGUCCACACUCAACAAGGGGCUCUAUUCUUUCCUGAAGGUCUGUGGUUGCCUCCGGAGGCUGGAGGGCAGCUCUGGAGUCUGGCUUGGCUUUCUAUUUGCAACCAUUCCAUAUCCCUUGUCCCCACCCCACUCCCUCCCUAGGGCCACACCUCUCCACAAUGCGGAAGCCAUGGGGUACUCUGGGAUUUAUGUCCGUGGUGUGUAGGGGAAACUCCUGGAACAAAUGAGCGGCUGUGCACGUGGUUGUGUUUGGUUUUGGACUCAGAGGGCACCUCUGGUUUUAUGGGUCUGUCCUUGGUCUUAUGCUGGCUGCCUGCCAGGUUCCAGGGGUCCACAUCCCUGGAAUCACUACCUAGGCCCAAGGUGGGGAGCAGAGACCGAUAACCCAGGUGUCUGGGGUUAUUAGCCAUCAGAAACAUGGAACCUGACAGCAGGAGAGUGGCCACCACUUUGCCCUGACAUCUGGAGGCCUUACUGCCCCACCCUCAGGUCAUCAUCCCCAAGGCCUGGCAGAUAUUUGUGUGAAGACAGAAGGAAUUUGGGUGAGGGCAGAGACCAGCAUGGCACCCACCCUUUUCCUCCAAUGCCCCUCCCUCUCCCAGCUCAGGGGCUUAGGAGUGUGGUAUGCAGCGGGGAUGGAGGGUAUGAACCCUAGAAGCAGACCGGCCUCAAUUUUAAUCCUAACUAGCUGUAUUGUGUGACCUUGGGCAAGUGACUCCAUUUUUCUGAGCCUCAUUUCAUAAGCUAUAAAAUGGGGAUAACAACAGCACAUAUCUUUUAGAGAGUUGUAAGGAUUAAACAAUUAAAUGGGAUUAAAUAACGAAUUAAUUUUAAAGGAUUAUAUAAUAAAAUUCAUGCAUGUACACAGUGAACAGUAAAUGGUAGUAUUACUCUUAUUAUCUGUCCCUUGCUGCGUUUCAAGCAUCUAUCCAGGAUACUUUAAUGUUGUCCAACCUAACAGAGUCUGAAUUUGUUUAACAUUUACAGUACCUUAGAGAGGAGCUCAGUGAGCUCAAAUGAGACGAGAAAGGUAGCCACUGGGUUCUGAGCAGGGUCUGCCACCCCUUUCUGGACCCCACCCCCUGCCCAGAGUGCCAGAUGGCCCAGCUGCUGUCCUUGCCUCUUCCAAAAGCUUGGGGAGGUCUUGCUGCAUCUUCCCAUGUGGGAAACUCAGGCAGGCAGGCAGCCCUGCCUACCAGGGACCAAAUGCACUGGCCUGGAGGCCAUAGGGUGUUCCUGUAACUAGAGAGCAGGGAUGGAAUGGGAUGAAUGCAGGGCCAGGAAGGUGAGAACAAGGAUCAUACCUUUGCUCGGUGCCACACUUCAGGCUUUCCAAAGAGGAUUCUCAAACUUUUCUCUCCACAGAAAUGGCUCAUGGGCAAUGACACCAGGAGCAGAGGAGGCCCCUUUUUCUGUGCUGGGGUCUCAGCACCAACCAGACCAGUGUUGUGGCCACCCUGAAUAUGGAGUGUCUGGCAGAAGGGAAGGCUUCUGGCAGAAGGGGAGGCCGAGAGACCCACAUCUGCAAAGGCCAGGGCCACAGGAAGAAAGCAGUGAUAUAAAGCACUUCCCAAAGUCCUAGGCUUGGGCCAAACUACGUAUAGCAACUCAAGGGUUAAUCCCCACCCCACCCUCAUCAGUCUCAUCCUAAAGAGAAAAGGAAGCAAAACAGAGACCACGGCUGCCUGAGGUGGCAGGCUGCCUUAUCUGUUGUGGCUGCUGCUGGAUAACCUGCGGCACUGCCAUGGGUACUUGUGUGCCAGCUGAGGGACAGGCAUUCCCAGGCGGGCCACCCUGGAGAUCCCCCCUGGUGAGAUCAAG
Molecule: long non-coding RNA, 6052 nt
Filed under: Homo sapiens (human)
Lineage: Eukaryota; Metazoa; Chordata; Mammalia; Primates; Hominidae
Description: HSALNT0095237
Source: RNAcentral